Micropterus dolomieu (smallmouth bass) is the source of this 974-nucleotide long non-coding RNA. RefSeq lists it as uncharacterized. The transcript has 2 exons. NCBI's taxonomy places the organism in Eukaryota, Metazoa, Chordata, Actinopteri, Centrarchiformes, Centrarchidae. The record is from RefSeq and is a predicted model, not a curated record.
CAGCCUUACGUAUUUAUGAAAAUAUAAUGUUAAAGACGCCACUAUCUACUUGAAUGAAGGUUUCAUAAACGCUAUCUAUCCAUUAUCGCCGUCUGUUUAUAUGUGUGUGCGGAAACACACAGCUCCGACCAGUCCCUCCUUCAAUAUCAGCUUUCACCCGGCGACUGGUGCUUUUUGUGCCUCCUGUGUGAGCGUGAGGGAGGGAGCAUAUCCUACACACACCAGAUGAGUGUCCGUAGAGGGGGGCAGUGGGUCUGUUUCCGUCUCCAAAUCGGCGGUGCUCCAGGCGACACCGUAUCCGGACUCGGGCUUCCUAUCCCAGGCUGUGUCGGCGAGCCGCCCGAGCUCCCAGCAUGCUUCCCAGCCGUAAUGGCCGCUUCUGUCCGAGGCUUUGCGGUCUCUGCCUCUGCCUCUGUGUGAGUGUGAAUGUGAAUGUUUCUCUCCUUCUUUUGCUCAGGUUUCUCGUUUCUUCCUGCAGUGGCUGUCUUCCAUCCCUCUCUACCGGCCACGCCAGGAACCACCGCCACAGGAAUUUCAGGAGCCGGUGGGAAAGAGCUAGCUAGCUUACAUGGCUGCCGGUGGGAAAUGGAGCUGGAGCGCCCCCACAUGUGUCGGUCUCUCUCACCCCGGCGCCAUUGCUUCUCCUCGCCUUUAAUAACCAUGGAAACAGAGGAGACCACGUCGUCAUGGCAACAGGGGAAUGGCCUCAGCUUCGGGGCGAGGCUUCCUUUCAGUCGCCCGUAGAAAAAGAAAUGUGGAAGGAACAGCAGCAGGCAGGACGGCGGGCGCCUAAGUUACAUGCAGGCACAGACGUCUGGGGUCCUGAUGUUCACGUGGAUAGAUUAGGACUACUGCAGUCUGACACACAUGCACACACAGCUAGAUAUGGUGCAUCACACAUUCUUGUGUCAUCAUGAGUUUUUGUCUUAUUUUGCUGAGAAAAGUAUUAUUAAAAUAUAUUGUUUUAUUUUUCA